This 254-nucleotide ribosomal RNA is filed under the name uncultured bacterium. RNAcentral's name for it is "partial 16S ribosomal RNA". It matches the Rfam family "Bacterial small subunit ribosomal RNA", at positions 524 to 776 of the family's 1533-position model. The record is from RNAcentral.
GACGUAGGGGGCGAGCGUUGUCCGGAUUCACUGGGCGUAAAGGGCGCGUAGGCGGUUACGAAAGUCCGAUGUGAAAAGUCACGGCUCAACUGUGAUCGUGCAUCGGAUACUUCGUUGACUUGAGGUCGGUAGAGGCAAGUGGAACUAGCGGUGUAGCGGUGAAAUGCGCAGAUAUCGCUAGGAACGCCGGUGGCGAAGGCGACUUGCUGGGCCGUACCUGACGCUGAUGCGCGAAAGCUAGGGGAGCGAACCGG